Molecule: long non-coding RNA, 722 nt
Organism: Rhineura floridana
Lineage: Eukaryota; Metazoa; Chordata; Lepidosauria; Squamata; Rhineuridae
Exons: 3
Source: RefSeq, a predicted model, not a curated record
GUUUGACUAGCCUCAUGUGCUCCUGCUUUGAGAAGAGAGAGGUGGAGACGCACUGGAACCAGCAGACCACCCAAAGUAUUUCCAAAGAAAUGUCAAAUAUGCAAAUAAUAUUAUGUAUACGCGUAUGGUAUUGUGUGGAAAUGUUCUUGAAAAGAAGAGCUGAUAUAUGUAUAGAACAAUGUUACAGAUCUACUAUGCUGAAGUGGGUUUAGAUGGAAUGGAAGUGUCCCUGCACACAGCCCUACCAGACUUUGCUGGCAGGGGAGCUCCACUGUUGGCAGGGAAGCCACACCAUCAAGGAGCAUUCCAAUGCACCUGCCCAAACAGUGGAUAGCCAGAUGCGACCAGUGGUAGCAUCCCUGCCACAGGUAACCAGUGGAAAGCCCCAAAAUGAUCUAUUUGGGGGUAGGUCACAAGACAGCAACAGACCAGAUCCAGGCCUCUUUGCUGCACAGCAAAUGGGCAUCUUUUCCUGCUCCUUCCUAUCUCCCACCCUGGACAGUCUAAGUGCAAGGGCUAUGGAUGUGGCUAUGGCUACACAGCUCCAUCAAGCCUUGCCACCGCUGGUGAAGGAUUAGGACUGCAGCCUUAGUUAUUUAAUUUGUUGUUGUUGUAUUUGUACUGCCAUGGAGGAGGAAUACUAUGUACCAUGACAGGUGUGUGUGUGUAAAAUAUUUCCAAAAUUCAGGACAAAGUAUUAAAAACAAACAAGAUAUUUGAAA